AUUGAAAUUCUUCGGAAUGGACAUAGAUACAAGCUAGCGGCGGAUGGGUGAGUAACGCGUGGGUAACCUGCCCUUAAGUCUGGGAUACCAUUUGGAAACAGAUGCUAAUACCGGAUAAAAGCUACUUUCGCAUGAAAAAAGUUUAAAAGGCGGCGUAAGCUGUCGCUAAAGGAUGGACCUGCGAUGCAUUAGCUAGUUGGUAAGGUAACGGCUUACCAAGGCGAUGAUGCAUAGCCGAGUUGAGAGACUGAUCGGCCACAUUGGGACUGAGACACGGCCCAAACUCCUACGGGAGGCAGCAGUAGGGAAUCUUCCACAAUGGACGCAAGUCUGAUGGAGCAACGCCGCGUGAGUGAAGAAGGUUUUCGGAUCGUAAAGCUCUGUUGUUGGUGAA
RNAcentral lists this ribosomal RNA (394 nucleotides) under uncultured Lactobacillus sp. RNAcentral describes it as "bacterial SSU rRNA". It matches the Rfam family "Bacterial small subunit ribosomal RNA", at positions 69 to 446 of the family's 1533-position model. The record is from RNAcentral. Lineage: Bacteria; Bacillati; Bacillota; Bacilli; Lactobacillales; Lactobacillaceae.